UUUUUUCUCUUUUCCUUUCGUUUAAUUGGAUUAAAAAUACCCAAACCCUUCUUUCUCUUUCAUUCGCAUAACCCAAAUCACAACCCUUCCUCUGAUUUUUUCGCAAGCAACCAUGAGUCUUCAACCAUGGAUUAUUCCUCUUCUUCCUUGCGUCAAAACCGAACAGCACUACCCACCUUCUUCCUCCAGAAAUUUCGAAAUCUAGGGCAUAAACCCUUUCCUUUUUUUCGCACAAUAGGGCAAAGCAAGCAUUAGUCAUCUUCUACAUUUGGUUUUCGCAAGAGACACCGCAAAUCUUGCUUGCCUUCGUUCCAUUGAACAAAUCAAUGGGUUUCCCUUUCGAUUCUUUGUGUCAAAUUAAGAAUCAAGCCAUGCUCGUCACAAACCCGAUCUUUCUGAGAAACAAGAUGGUGGUGGUCAUUCUUCUUUCCUCUGACUAAUUCUUGAAGCAAACAAUAGCAAGCUCCUUGUUCUUGGUCUCUAGAACCGUAAAUCAAGGUUUGAUCACAGAUCGAAACCGGUCGGGAACGAUGGGUUAGUGGUGUUGAAUAGCGUUCCAAGGAUGCAUAUUGAGCUGAGCACAUGAAAAUCUGUAGUUUUGUAUUAUGUUUUUGGAUAAAUGCUUAUUAGUCUUGGUUGUGUUGGUUAUACUCAAUUCGAAGUGAAUUGUAUGAUUACUUGUGUUUUAGUUAGAUGUUUGGUUUGAGAAUUAGUUGAGUUAGUUACGUUAAAGAGAUGGUGACCCUUUUGCUCAAGUUUUGAAAGUGUGAUUUAAGUUUCUUGGGAAAUGAACCCCGUGAUGACCCUGUUUGCUCAGUCAACGGUGGGUCAGGUUGUUACACCCAAACCUAAUAUACACUCAUAAUAAUCGAAAAGAAGUGAAGAUCACAUAUCAAAAUACAUACUAUCGGCUUGUUUGGUUAGUGGUACUAAAUGGAGGUAAUGAGAAUGAUUUAUAGUGUAAAAUUUUAUCAAAAACUCCAUUUCAUUUACAUGGUAAUGAAACUUUGAUCACAAAAAAGGUUUUUUGUUCACAAAUUUCUAUUACCACCUAAUAGUCUAAUACAACAUGUUCUAAUGGUAAUGUAUUGGAAUGAAUUUUAUGAAGAAAAUGAGAUGAUUGAAGCUUGACAAGCAUGGCCAUCAAGGUAGCCAAGAGAUUUCUCAACCAAAAUUACACUAAUUUUCGCUCCCAUUACCACCGUUUAUUACCACUUAUCAAACAGGCCGUAAAUAUUUUACUAUACAUUGGUUGCAAAACUACCAUAAUAAGGAACUCCAGUCUGUGUAAUCCAAGCAUCUCUAUCAAUCAACUUAGAAGCAGUAAAAAGGUUUAGCUUCAUUAGCCCAAGUCACAGCUUUAAAACUACUCCAAAGAACCCUUGAUUGUGUAUAAGAUCCAGGCCCCCGGUUCCUAAACUCUCGAUAACUCAAUUAAUUAAUCGGAUCCUUAGCCCAACUAAACCAUCCAAGAAGGUUAAUAAUACUAUCCAAAUAUGACUCCAUAACCAUCACCCUUGAAUAACUAAACCAAGACCAAUCAAGAAAUCCUCGAAUCGAAGUCUUAAGUGAA
This is a long non-coding RNA of Amaranthus tricolor (Joseph's coat), 1573 nucleotides long. RefSeq lists it as uncharacterized. The record is from RefSeq and is a predicted model, not a curated record. The transcript is spliced from 3 exons. Lineage: Eukaryota; Viridiplantae; Streptophyta; Magnoliopsida; Caryophyllales; Amaranthaceae.